RNAcentral lists this ribosomal RNA (602 nucleotides) under [Candida] sp. YSF3. RNAcentral describes it as "eukaryotic LSU rRNA". It matches the Rfam family "Eukaryotic large subunit ribosomal RNA", at positions 41 to 659 of the family's 3401-position model. The record is from RNAcentral. Lineage: Eukaryota; Fungi; Ascomycota; Saccharomycetes; Saccharomycetales.
UAUCAAUAAGCGGAGGAAAAGAAACCAACAGGGAUUGCCUUAGUAGCGGCGAGUGAAGCGGCAAAAGCUCAAAUUUGAAAUCUGGCACUUUCAGUGUCCGAGUUGUAAUUUGAAGAAGGUAUCUUUGGGUCUGGCUCUUGUCUAUGUUUCUUGGAACAGAACGUCACAGAGGGUGAGAAUCCCGUGCGAUGAGAUGUCCCAGACCUAUGUAAAGUUCCUUCGAAGAGUCGAGUUGUUUGGGAAUGCAGCUCUAAGUGGGUGGUAAAUUCCAUCUAAAGCUAAAUAUUGGCGAGAGACCGAUAGCGAACAAGUACAGUGAUGGAAAGAUGAAAAGAACUUUGAAAAGAGAGUGAAAAAGUACGUGAAAUUGUUGAAAGGGAAGGGCUUGAGAUCAGACUUGGUAUUUUGUAUGUUACUCUCUCGGGGGUGGCCUCUACAGUUUACCGGGCCAGCAUCAGUUUGAGCGGUAGGAUAAGUGCAAAGAAAUGUGGCACUGCUUCGGUAGUGUGUUAUAGUCUUUGUCGAUACUGCCAGCUUAGACUGAGGACUGCGGCUUCGGCCUAGGAUGUUGGCAUAAUGAUCUUAAGUCGCCCGUCUUGAAA